ACGAACGCUGGCGGCAUGCCUAACACAUGCAAAUCGAACGAGACCUUCGGGUCUAGUGGCGCACGGGUGCGUCACGCGUGGGAACCUGCCCUUAGGUUCGGAAUAACUCCCCGAAAGGGGUGCUAAUACCGGAUAAUGUCUUCGGACCAAAGAUUUAUCGCCUUUGGAUGGGCCCGCGUUGGAUUAGCUAGUUGGUAGGGUAAAAGCCUACCAAGGCGACGAUCCAUAGCUGGUCUGAGAGGAUGAUCAGCCACACUGGGACUGAGACACGGCCCAGACUCCUACGGGAGGCAGCAGUGGGGAAUAUUGGACAAUGGGCGAAAGCCUGAUCCAGCAAUGCCGCGUGAGUGAUGAAGGCCUUAGGGUUGUAAAGCUCUUUUACCCGGGAUGAUAAUGACAGUACCGGGAGAAUAAGCUCCGGCUAACUCCGUG
This 432-nucleotide ribosomal RNA is filed under the name uncultured bacterium. Its description in RNAcentral is "partial 16S ribosomal RNA". It matches the Rfam family "Bacterial small subunit ribosomal RNA", at positions 29 to 507 of the family's 1533-position model. The record is from RNAcentral.